Long non-coding RNA from Mus pahari (shrew mouse), 248 nucleotides. RefSeq lists it as uncharacterized. The transcript has 3 exons. Lineage: Eukaryota; Metazoa; Chordata; Mammalia; Rodentia; Muridae. The record is from RefSeq and is a predicted model, not a curated record.
UGCAGCUCCCCUGAUUAGGCUUUGAGGGACUGUCUCUGCAAAAGCAGAGGAAGGAAGGACCAUGCAGCUGUGUAGAGCUGGAAUUGAUCCCUAAGGCUGGACGUGGGGCGGGAAAGCCCCAGGGCACUAAGACAAAGGGGGAAGGCAUGAAUGCCACGGACGUAUGUGGAGAUCAGAGGACGGCGUUCACGAGUCCUUCAAAAACAGGAAGCCAGUCUUCUCCUAGCUGCCUUCAGAACAAGAGGCGG